This 253-nucleotide unclassified non-coding RNA is filed under the name uncultured Acidobacteriota bacterium. Its description in RNAcentral is "uncultured Acidobacteria bacterium contains 16S-23S intergenic spacer region". It matches the Rfam family "Bacterial small subunit ribosomal RNA", at positions 524 to 776 of the family's 1533-position model. The record is from RNAcentral. Lineage: Bacteria; Pseudomonadati; Acidobacteriota.
UACGGGGGGGGCAAGCGUUGUUCGGAUUUACUGGGCGUAAAGAGCUCGUAGGCGGCCUGCUUAGUCGGACGUGAAAUCCCUUGGCUCAACUGAGGAACUGCGUCCGAUACUGGCAGGCUUGAAUCCGGGAGAGGGAUGCGGAAUUCCAGGUGUAGCGGUGAAAUGCGUAGAUAUCUGGAGGAACACCGGUGGCGAAGGCGGCAUCCUGGACCGGCAUUGACGCUGAGGAGCGAAAGCCAGGGUAGCAAACGGG